RNAcentral lists this ribosomal RNA (454 nucleotides) under uncultured Prevotella sp. RNAcentral's name for it is "partial 16S ribosomal RNA". It matches the Rfam family "Bacterial small subunit ribosomal RNA", at positions 341 to 792 of the family's 1533-position model. Lineage: Bacteria; Pseudomonadati; Bacteroidota; Bacteroidia; Bacteroidales; Prevotellaceae. The record is from RNAcentral.
ACGGGAGGCAGCAGUGAGGAAUAUUGGUCAAUGGGCGAGAGCCUGAACCAGCCAAGUAGCGUGAAGGAUGACUGCCCUACGGGUUGUAAACUUCUUUUAUACGGGAAUAAAAAAGGCCACGCGUGGCCUCUUGCAUGUACCGUAUGAAUAAGCAUCGGCUAAUUCCGUGCCAGCAGCCGCGGUAAUACGGAAGAUGCGAGCGUUAUCCGGAUUUAUUGGGUUUAAAGGGAGCGUAGGCCGUGCUUUAAGCGUGUUGUGAAAUGUAGGCGCCCAACGUCUGCACUGCAGCGCGAACUGGAGCACUUGAGUACGCAGGAAGUAGGCGGAAUUCGUCGUGUAGCGGUGAAAUGCUUAGAUAUGACGAAGAACUCCGAUUGGGAAGCCAGCUUACUGUAGCGCCACUGACGCUGAUGCUCGAAAGCGUGGGUAUCGAACAGGAUUAGAUACCCUGGUA